Molecule: ribosomal RNA, 499 nt
Filed under: uncultured Streptococcus sp.
Lineage: Bacteria; Bacillati; Bacillota; Bacilli; Lactobacillales; Streptococcaceae
Description: partial 16S ribosomal RNA
Source: RNAcentral
CACGUAGUUAGCCGCCCCUUUCUGGUAAGAUACCGUCACAGUGUGAACUUUCCACUCUCACACUCGUUCUUCUCUUACAACAGAGCUUUACGAUCCGAAAACCUUCUUCACUCACGCGGCGUUGCUCGGUCAGACUUUCGUCCAUUGCCGAAGAUUCCCUACUGCUGCCUCCCGUAGGAGUCUGGGCCGUGUCUCAGUCCCAGUGUGGCCGAUCACCCUCUCAGGUCGGCUAUGUAUCGUCGCCUUGGUGAGCCGUUACCCCACCAACUAGCUAAUACAACGCAGGUCCAUCUGGUAGUGAUGCAAUUGCACCUUUUAAGUAAAUGUCAUGCAACAUCUACUCUUAUGCGGUAUUAGCUAUCGUUUCCAAAUAGUUACUCCCCCGCUACCAGGCAGGUUUACCUACGCGUUACUCACCCGUUCGCAACUCAUCCAGAGAAGCAAGCCUCCUCCUUUAGCGUUCUACUUGCAUGUAUUAGGCACCGGCCGCCAGCGUCGU